RNAcentral lists this ribosomal RNA (1484 nucleotides) under Salmonella sp. Its description in RNAcentral is "bacterial SSU rRNA". It matches the Rfam family "Bacterial small subunit ribosomal RNA". Lineage: Bacteria; Pseudomonadati; Pseudomonadota; Gammaproteobacteria; Enterobacterales; Enterobacteriaceae. The record is from RNAcentral.
AUUGAACGCUGGCGGCAGGCCUAACACAUGCAAGUCGAACGGUAACAGGAAGCAGCUUGCUGCUUCGCUGACGAGUGGCGGACGGGUGAGUAAUGUCUGGGAAACUGCCUGAUGGAGGGGGAUAACUACUGGAAACGGUGGCUAAUACCGCAUAACGUCGCAAGACCAAAGAGGGGGACCUUCGGGCCUCUUGCCAUCAGAUGUGCCCAGAUGGGAUUAGCUAGUUGGUGAGGUAACGGCUCACCAAGGCGACGAUCCCUAGCUGGUCUGAGAGGAUGACCAGCCACACUGGAACUGAGACACGGUCCAGACUCCUACGGGAGGCAGCAGUGGGGAAUAUUGCACAAUGGGCGCAAGCCUGAUGCAGCCAUGCCGCGUGUAUGAAGAAGGCCUUUGGGUUGUAAAGUACUUUCAGCGGGGAGGAAGGUGUUGUGGUUAAUAACCGCAGCAAUUGACGUUACCCGCAGAAGAAGCACCGGCUAACUCCGUGCCAGCAGCCGCGGCAAUACGGAGGGUGCAAGCGUUAAUCGGAAUUACUGGGCGUAAAGCGCACGCAGGCGGUCUGUCAAGUCGGAUGUGAAAUCCCCGGGCUCAACCUGGGAACUGCAUUCGAAACUGGCAGGCUUGAGUCUUGUAGAGGGGGGUAGAAUUCCAGGUGUAGAGGUGAAAUGCGUAGAGAUCUGGAGGAAUACCGGUGGCGAAGGCGGCCCCCUGGACAAAGACUGACGCUCAGGUGCGAAAGCGUGGGGAGCAAACAGGAUUAGAUACCCUGGUAGUCCACGCCGUAAACGAUGUCUACUUGGAGGUUGUGCCCCUGAGGCGUGGCUUCCGGAGCUAACGCGUUAAGUAGACCGCCUGGGGAGUACGGCCGCAAGGUUAAAACUCAAAUGAAUUGACGGGGGCCCGCACAAGCGGUGGAGCAUGUGGUUUAAUUCGAUGCAACGCGAAGAACCUUACCUGGUCUUGACAUCCACGGAAGUUUUCAGAGAUGAGAAUGUGCCUUCGGGAACCGUGAGACAGGUGCUGCAUGGCUGUCGUCAGCUCGUGUUGUGAAAUGUUGGGUUAAGUCCCGCAACGAGCGCAACCCUUAUCCUUUGUUGCCAGCGAUUAGGUCGGGAACUCAAAGGAGACUGCCAGUGAUAAACUGGAGGAAGGUGGGGAUGACGUCAAGUCAUCAUGGCCCUUACGACCAGGGCUACACACGUGCUACAAUGGCGCAUACAAAGAGAAGCGACCUCGCGAGAGCAAGCGGACCUCAUAAAGUGCGUCGUAGUCCGGAUUGGAGUCUGCAACUCGACUCCAUGAAGUCGGAAUCGCUAGUAAUCGUGGAUCAGAAUGCCACGGUGAAUACGUUCCCGGGCCUUGUACACACCGCCCGUCACACCAUGGGAGUGGGUUGCAAAAGAAGUAGGUAGCUUAACCUUCGGGAGGGCGCUUACCACUUUGUGAUUCAUGACUGGGGUGAAGUCGUAACAAGGUAACCC